Molecule: ribosomal RNA, 1297 nt
Filed under: Sitona obsoletus
Lineage: Eukaryota; Metazoa; Arthropoda; Insecta; Coleoptera; Curculionidae
Description: 16S ribosomal RNA
Source: RNAcentral
GAAUUUUUUUUAUUAUUAAUUUUUUAUAUUAAAGAAUUAUUUAAAAUAAGUAUAUUUUAUUUUUAGUAUAAAAUUAGAAUCAAUAAAUUUUAUGAUAGCUAAAUAGUACUGUGAAGGAAAUAAUAAAAAUAAGUAACAGAAAAAUUUAUUUUUUGUACCUUGUGUAUCAGGGUUUAUUAAAUUAAUAUUAAGUAUUUAGUAUUCUCGAAUUAAUAAGAGCUAUUUCUAUAUAUUUUAUUUUGUAGCAUAAAAAAUAUAAAUAUAGUAAUAGAGGUGAAAUGCUAUUCGAUUAUUAAUAUAUCUAGUUUCUAAAGAAAAAAAUUUAAUUUUUUUAUUAAUUUAGUAUAGAAUUUUAUUAUUAAUUUUAUAUUAUUAAUAGGCUAUAUUUUAGGGGAUAAGCUUUAAAAUAUAUUAUUUUAAAUUUAUAGUGUAUUUUAAUAAAAGUAGGAUUAAUAGUUUUCAUCUUUAAAAAUGUAUUAUUACUAAUUUAAUAAAAAAUAUAAUUUAUAUAGAUUUGAAAUUUUUUAUUUAGAUAUAAAUUUUAAUUAUAAAAAUUUAUUAAUAAUGAUAAAAUUAGUAAAAAAUUAAUUGUUUAUAUUUUAUAGAUAGUUAGGUUAAGCAAAGGAACUCGGCAAAUAUAUUUUUCACCUGUUUAUUAAAAACAUGGCCUUUUGAUUAUAAUUUAAGGUCUAACCUGCCCAAUGAAUUUUUAAAUGGCYGCGGUACUUUGACCGUGCAAAGGUAGCAUAAUCAUUAGUUUCUUAAUUAGAAGCUGGAAUGAAAGGUUGAAUGAGAAAAUAACUGUCUCUGUUUAAAUUAAAUUUGAAUUUUAUCUUUAAGUAAAAAAGCUUAAAUAAUUAUAGAAGACGAGAAGACCCUAUAGAGUUUUACUGAUUUAGAAUUGUGGAUUAUUGGCAUCUCAUUUCUUUAGAAUAAUAAAUUAGUUUAAUUGGGGUGAUUGAAAAAUUUGAAAAACUUUUUUUUUAUUUUUACAUUGAUUUAUGAUUAAUUGAUCCUUUUUAUAUUAAAGAUUAUAAGAAAAAAUUACCUUAGGGAUAACAGCGUAAUUUUUUUAGAGAGUUCUUAUCGAAAAAAAAGAUUGCGACCUCGAUGUUGGAUUAAAAUUAAAUUUUGGUGUAGAAGCUAGAGUAUUUAGGUCUGUUCGACCUUUAAAAUUUUACAUGAUCUGAGUUUAAACCGGUGUGAGCCAGGUUGGUUUCUAUCUCUAUAUAAAUAAAAUAUUUUAGUACGAAAGGACCAAGUAUUUGAUUAUUAAUUUAUUAAUAAGAAUAAUUUU